AUUGAACGCUAGCGGGAUGCUUAACACAUGCAAGUCGAACGAGUGGCGGACGGGUGAGUAAUAUAUCGGAACGUGCCCAGUAGCGGGGGAUACCUACUCGAAAGCGUGGCUAAUACCGCAUACUCUUGGAGCGGCCGAUAUCGGAUUAGCUAGUUGGUGGGUAAAAGGCUCACCAAGGCAAAGUCCCGUAGCUGGUUUGAGAGGACGACCAGCCAAACUGGGACUGAGACACGGCCCAGACUCCUACGGGAGGCAGCAGUGGGGAAUUUUGGACAAUGGGGGAAACCCUGAUCCAGCCAUCCCGCGUGUAUGAGAAGGCCUUCGGGUUGUAAAGUACUUUUGGCAGGGAAGCGGUAUCUGCAGAGAAAGCACCGGCUAACUACGUGCCAGCAGCCGCGGUAAUUC
Molecule: ribosomal RNA, 405 nt
Filed under: uncultured bacterium
Lineage: Bacteria
Description: partial 16S ribosomal RNA
Rfam family: Bacterial small subunit ribosomal RNA
Source: RNAcentral